Molecule: long non-coding RNA, 204 nt
Filed under: Carica papaya (papaya)
Lineage: Eukaryota; Viridiplantae; Streptophyta; Magnoliopsida; Brassicales; Caricaceae
Description: long non-coding RNA (CPAP_LNC002492)
Source: RNAcentral
UAAAUAAAUUAUGGACCUAAUUUGAUUUUGGACAUAAUAAAAUUGUUCUAUCUAAUUGCUAAGUUAUAUUAGAUUUACUUUCUUUCUUGAAAAUGGUCUUUUAUCACUUUUUCAAUUGCUAAGAUAAAAGUAAAAAAAUUACAUUUUCAAUGGCUUAUAUAAAAACUACUUACUAUAUUUUCAUUAGCUUAGAUAGAACAAUUU